This is a long non-coding RNA of Cataglyphis hispanica, 336 nucleotides long. RefSeq lists it as uncharacterized. The transcript is spliced from 2 exons. The record is from RefSeq and is a predicted model, not a curated record. NCBI's taxonomy places the organism in Eukaryota, Metazoa, Arthropoda, Insecta, Hymenoptera, Formicidae.
CGGCAAUCACGUGAUAAAUGAUCAAUCUUAAUAAAUGUACUACACUUUGAAACUAAGAAUAGUAUUUUUUGCGAAUGCCGGCGACAACGAGGCGAAAGAUGCGUCGCGCAAAGAACGCACGCUCGGCUACGAUCGGUAAUGGCAUAAGAGAGCAAUAGUAAAGUAGUAAUGGUAAUAGUAAGGACAGUGGCGCCACGAAUAGCAAUGAUCAGUUGGCGCGCGAAAUUCAAACGCGUUGCGGAUGCAAGGAGCGGUUAUACGAAAUUGCGACUUAAUUUCCGCUAAUGUAAAAAAAAAUAAGAUUGUUAAAUCCCUAUUAAAAUUAUUAAAAAACUA